GAUUUUGGACAAUGGACGGAAGUCUGAUGGAGCAACGCCGCGUGAGCGAAGAAGGUUUUCGGAUCGGAAAGCACUGUUGUAAGGGAAGAACACGUACGGGAGUCACUGCCCGCACCUUGACGGUACCUUAACAGAAAGCCACGGCUGACUAUGUGCCAGCAGCCGCGGUAAUACGUAGGUGGCAAGCGUUGUCCGGAAUUAUUGGGCGUAAAGCGCGCGCAGGCGGUCCUUUAAGUCUGAUGUGAAAGCCCACGGCUCAACCGUGGAGGGUCAUUGGAAACUGGAAGACUUGAGUACAGAAGAGGAAAGCGGAAUUCCACGUGUAGCGGUGAAAUGCGUAGAGAUGUGGAGGAACACCAGUGGCGAAGGCGGCUUUCUGGUCUGUAACUGACGCUGAGGCGCGAAAGCGUGGGGAGCAAACAG
RNAcentral lists this ribosomal RNA (423 nucleotides) under uncultured bacterium. Its description in RNAcentral is "partial 16S ribosomal RNA". It matches the Rfam family "Bacterial small subunit ribosomal RNA", at positions 359 to 775 of the family's 1533-position model. The record is from RNAcentral.